GUUCCUUGGGGGAAAGUUGGGAGUUCCUUGGGUGUUGGGAGUCUCUUGGGUGUUCCUUGGGUGAAGAUUUGGGAGUCUCUUGGGUGUUCUCUGGUUGAAGGUUGGGUGUUCCUUGGGUGAAGGUUGGGUGUUCCUUGGGUGCUCCUUGGGUGAAGAUUUGGGAGUCUCUUGGGUGUUCUCUGGUUGAAGGUUGGGUGUUCCUUGGGUGUUCCUUGGGUGAAGAUUUGGGAGUUCCUUGGGGGAAGGUUGGGAGUUCCUUGGGUGUUCCUUGGGGGGGAAGGUUGGGAGUUCCUUGGGUGUUCCUUGGGUGAAGAUUUGGGAAUUCUUUGAGUGUUCUUUGGGUGAAGAUUUGGAAGUUCCUUGGGUGUUCCUUGGGGGAAGAUUUGGGUGUUCCUUGGGUGCUCCUUGGGUGUAGAUUUGAGAGUCUCUUGGGUGUUCCUUGGGUGAAGAUUUGGGAGUCUCUUGGGUGUUCUCUGGUUGAAGGUUGGGUGUUCCUCGGACACUCCUUGGGUGAAGGUUGGGAGUUCCUUGGGUGUUCCUUGGGGGAAGAUUUGGGAGUUCCUUGGGUGAAGAUUUGGGAGUUCUUUGGGUACCCCUUGGGUGUUCCUUGGGGGAAGGUUGGGUGAAGGUUGGGUGAAUGUUGGGUGAAUGUUGGGUGAACAUUGGAUGAACUUGGGAUGAAAGUUGGACGAACGCUGAGUUACGUUUGAGUGAGUGUUGGGUGAAUGUUGGUGAAUUUUGGGAUGAAUUUUGGGUGAAUUUGGGAUGAAUUUUGGUUGAAUUUUGGGUGCAUUUUUGGCGAAGGUUGGGUGAAUUUUGGAUGAAUUUUGGGUGAAUGUUGGGUGAAUUCUGGGUGCCUUUUGAGUGACUUUUGGGUGACUUUUGGAUGACUUCGGGGUGAAGGUUGGGUGGGCAGCCCCAGGGGGUGCCUGGCCGGUGCUGGGGUGAUACCGGCUC
Molecule: long non-coding RNA, 957 nt
Organism: Chiroxiphia lanceolata (lance-tailed manakin)
Lineage: Eukaryota; Metazoa; Chordata; Aves; Passeriformes; Pipridae
Exons: 6
Source: RefSeq, a predicted model, not a curated record